This 253-nucleotide ribosomal RNA is filed under the name uncultured bacterium. Its description in RNAcentral is "partial 16S ribosomal RNA". It matches the Rfam family "Bacterial small subunit ribosomal RNA", at positions 524 to 776 of the family's 1533-position model. The record is from RNAcentral.
UACAGAGGGGGCAAGCGUUGUUCGGAAUUACUGGGCGUAAAGGGCGCGUAGGCGGCCUUCUAAGUCGAACGUGAAAUCCCUGGGCUCAACCCAGGAACUGCGUCCGAUACUGGAAGGCUUGAAUCCGGGAGAGGGAUGCGGAAUUCCAGGUGUAGCGGUGAAAUGCGUAGAUAUCUGGAGGAACACCGGUGGCGAAGGCGGUAUCCUGGACCGGCAUUGACGCUGAGGCGCGAAAGCCAGGGGAGCAAACGGG